RNAcentral lists this ribosomal RNA (458 nucleotides) under uncultured Curtobacterium sp. RNAcentral describes it as "bacterial SSU rRNA". It matches the Rfam family "Bacterial small subunit ribosomal RNA", at positions 923 to 1382 of the family's 1533-position model. Lineage: Bacteria; Bacillati; Actinomycetota; Actinomycetes; Micrococcales; Microbacteriaceae. The record is from RNAcentral.
GCACAAGCGGCGGAGCAUGCGGAUUAAUUCGAUGCAACGCGAAGAACCUUACCAAGGCUUGACAUACACCGGUAACGCCCAGAGAUGGGUGCCCCUUUGUGGUCGGUGUACAGGUGGUGCAUGGUUGUCGUCAGCUCGUGUCGUGAGAUGUUGGGUUAAGUCCCGCAACGAGCGCAACCCUCGUCCUAUGUUGCCAGCGGGUCAUGCCGGGGACUCAUGGGAGACUGCCGGGGUCAACUCGGAGGAAGGUGGGGAUGACGUCAAAUCAUCAUGCCCCUUAUGUCUUGGGCUUCACGCAUGCUACAAUGGCCGGUACAAAGGGCUGCGAUACCGCGAGGUGGAGCGAAUCCCAGAAAGCCGGUCUCAGUUCGGAUUGGGGUCUGCAACUCGACCCCAUGAAGUCGGAGUCGCUAGUAAUCGUGGAUCAGAAUGUCACGGUGAAUACGUUCCCGGGUCUU